GACGAACGCUGGCGGCGUGCUUAACACAUGCAAGUCGAACGGAAAGGCCCUGCUUUUGUGGGGUGCUCGAUUGGCGAACGGGUGUGUAACACGUGAGUAACCUGCCCUUGACUUUGGGAUAACUUCAGGAAACUGGGGCUAAUACCGGAUAGGAGCUCCUGCUGCGUGGUGGGGGUUGGAAAGUUUCGGCGGUUGCUGAUGGGCUCGCGGCUUAUCAGCUUGUUGGUGGGGUAGUGGCUUACCAAGGCUUUGACGGGUAGCCGGCCCGAGAGGGUGACCGGCCACAUUGGGACUGGGAUACGGCCCAGACUCCUACGGGAGGCAGCAGUGGGGAGUAUUGCACAGUGGGCGGAAGCCUGAUGCAGCAACGCCGCGUGCCGGAUGACGGCCUUCGGGUUGGCAGCCGCUUUCGCCUGUGCCGAAGCGUAAGUGACGGUCAUGGGUAAAGAAGCACCGGCUAACUACGUG
RNAcentral lists this ribosomal RNA (468 nucleotides) under uncultured bacterium. RNAcentral's name for it is "partial 16S ribosomal RNA". It matches the Rfam family "Bacterial small subunit ribosomal RNA", at positions 28 to 507 of the family's 1533-position model. The record is from RNAcentral.